GACGAACGCUGGCGGCGUGCUUAACACAUGCAAGUCGAACGAUGAAGCCGGAGCUUGCUCUGGUGAAUUAGUGGCGAACGGGUGAGUAACACGUGAGUAACCUGCCCUUGACUCUGGGAUAACUGCUAGAAAUGGUAGCUAAUACCGGAUACGACCCUCGGAGGCAUCUUCAGGGGGUGGAAAGAAUUUCGGUCAAGGAUGGACUCGCGGCCUAUCAGCUAGUUGGUGAGGUAAUGGCUCACCAAGGCGACGACGGGUAGCCGGCCUGAGAGGGUGACCGGCCACACUGGGACUGAGACACGGCCCAGACUCCUGCGGGAGGCAGCAGUGGGGAAUAUUGCACAAUGGGCGCAAGCCUGAUGCAGCAACGCCGCGUGAGGGAUGACGGCCUUCGGGUUGUAAACCUCUUUUAGUAGGGAAGAAGCGGGAGUGACGGUACCUGCAGAAAAAGCACCGGCUAACUACGUGCCAGCCGCCGCCGUAA
This 484-nucleotide ribosomal RNA is filed under the name uncultured bacterium. Its description in RNAcentral is "partial 16S ribosomal RNA". It matches the Rfam family "Bacterial small subunit ribosomal RNA", at positions 28 to 523 of the family's 1533-position model. The record is from RNAcentral.